This is a non-coding RNA of Camelus ferus (Wild Bactrian camel), 75 nucleotides long. Lineage: Eukaryota; Metazoa; Chordata; Mammalia; Artiodactyla; Camelidae. The record is from Rfam.
GGAAUGGUAGAGCUCAUGUGGUAGAGUGCGUGCUUGGCAUGCACAAGGUCCUGGGUUCAAUCCCCAGCACCUCCU